UACGUAGGUGGCAAGCGUUGUCCGGAUUUACUGGGCGUAAAGCGCGCGUAGGCGGUUCGCCAAGUCUGAGGUGAAAUCUCCCGGCUCAACUGGGAGGGGUCCUUGGAUACUGGCGGGCUUUGAGGGGGUAGAGGAGAGUGGAAUUCCCGGUGUAGUGGUGAAAUGCGUAGAUAUCGGGAGGAACACCAGUGGCGAAGGCGGCUCUCUGGGCCCUGCCUGACGCUGAGGCGCGAAAGCGUGGGGAGCAA
This 248-nucleotide ribosomal RNA is filed under the name uncultured bacterium. RNAcentral's name for it is "partial 16S ribosomal RNA". It matches the Rfam family "Bacterial small subunit ribosomal RNA", at positions 524 to 771 of the family's 1533-position model. The record is from RNAcentral.